GCUCCAGGCAUGUUUAAAUUUGGCUCCAGGGGCAGCCAGCGGCUGGAGCUGCAUGGUGCAGAUAAAACACCACAGCCAGAACCAGGACGGCAGGGAUUGUAAUUCCCAACAGGAGCUUUAGAUCCGUCCCUAGGAAAGAACCUUGAUGUGAAUGGCCUCUCCAAGCAGCCACUGGCAAGUCCCCACUGGCUGGAGCUGGCUGAGUCCUGUGGUCUCAUCUGGCAGAGGAGGCACAGAAGGCAAUUCCAGGCCCAGGCUAAGGGAAGGUCCUGGAGCAGCAGCAGGG
Molecule: long non-coding RNA, 286 nt
Organism: Trachemys scripta elegans
Lineage: Eukaryota; Metazoa; Chordata; Testudines; Emydidae
Exons: 3
Source: RefSeq, a predicted model, not a curated record